Molecule: non-coding RNA, 2831 nt
Organism: Paramisgurnus dabryanus
Lineage: Eukaryota; Metazoa; Chordata; Actinopteri; Cypriniformes; Cobitidae
Source: RefSeq, a predicted model, not a curated record
AGUCUGAACUGCAACAGCACGGUCUGCGGUGAGUUAAACAACGUUCAACUGCAGGAUCAAUAGCAUUCAGCGGUGAGUUUAACAACCCUCAAAUGCGGUUAAAACAACAUUCAGAGGGAAGCUUUAUUUAAACCGCGUUCAACUGCAGAUAAAACAACAUUCAGAGGUGACUUUAACAACGCUCCACGGCGCGUGGGAGUAGCAUUUUAAGCGUUUUCUGAUCAUGUAGGUAAGUGCUUUGAUUAACUUUAGACGUGAUGCAUGCUGGGUGGCAAAUAUUUUUUAUCAAAGGCUCGUUGAUGGUAAUAAAUAUACAUAUAAAUAUACAUUUUACUAUAAUACGAUUGUUUUCGAUUAAUUAAUGGGUUGUUUAAUUAUUAAUUUGUUUAUUUUAAAUCCUGUAAUUUAACAACUCUGACGUCAUCGAAUGCGACGAUGCCAAGGUCCAUUGCGAUUUCCACUCGGUAAGUUGAUGGAGAUAAUUCUUACAUUUACACAGCAAAGAAAUGUUUAAUCGUGACAAUAAGUUGUGUUUGGAACAUUCUAAUGUAACGUUAUAAGGUAGCAGUCUUAGGAUGGUAAAUUAUAUAAGUCAUUAAACAAAUAACUUUGUUGCACCACAUAUGCAUAGGCUAAUAGCAAAAGUAGCUAAUUAAACUAUUUUUUGUCGCAAAUAAGUUGAUAAUGCAAGAUACAGGGAAAUGCAAGAUUUUCAGUAGCGAUAUGUUACCUAUAUUACACUAACUCGCAACAAUUAAGCCUCUUUUAGCCAACAUGAUCAGAUGAAGAACAGUGUUGCCAGAUUGGUUUGUUUUCCAGCCCAGUAAUUACUUAAAAUCCACACAAAAUUAUACAAUGAACUCCCAGAAAAUGAUCUAUAAUAAACAAUACAACUUAACUCAUAACAGCACCAUUAUUGUGGCUCAUCAUGUUUUAAUAUGAAGUAAUUAAAGCCAAUUUCAGCCAACACGAUCAGUAUAAAUUAUAAACAUUUAACUGUACAAAAUCAAUAUCACAUAGAUUUGAGCUUAAAUUUGUGUGUGUGUGCAUACAUAUAUGUGUGUGUUUAUAUAUAGGUGUGUUAUUUAUUUCUUUUCUGUUUAGGUCCUUCAACUCUUUAUACCCCCAUCACACACACACACACACACACACACACACACACUCACACACACACACACACACACACACUUUCUUGGUAAUCUGUAAGAAGAGGAGGCAGCAGCACCAGAGAAGACACCUGAGCCGAGGGUGCAUUGGAGACAAAGAGACACUGAUGUAAAUAUUGUCUAUGCAAGGCCAAGGUCAUGCAGGAAUCAACCAAAGAAAGGAUUCCCCUUUCAAAACAGGAAAAAUGGGACCUUUAAACAGAGUGCUUGCACCACCAUAUCAAACUGCUGAUCACAUUCAGAACACUGAUCCUCCCAAUGCUCCUGACACUCAUUGUGAGGUGGCCUUUGCUCCAGAGACUGUUGAGUGCAUUCACUGAACGAUUUCUCAGGUGACGAGGCAUCACCUCCUGGAACCCCAAGAGAUCUUCUUCUGGCUUCCUCAAACUGGAGAACACGUCAAAGUCUCUUCAGAGAGGUGGAGGGCAUGUGGUAGCACACAUCUGCCUAAGGAAUGUGCAGUGGGAGACUUAAACAGAAGUGGGUACUGGCCUGCAACCCUUCAAUUCACCACAAUUUAUGCCAUAGAUAUCUUGUUUUCAUUUCAAGAAAUGAAGAUGGCGGCACCAGGACUGUCCUGUCAAGCAUUUUUUAAGAAUGCUGGAUCAGCGAACUGUCUGCUUUGGUCGUACUGGCAAGAUCUCAGCAGACAGUUUUCAGAAAAGUUUUUUGAGUGGGAGGCUGUGCGAUUCAAGGUGGACAAUAUAUGCAAGGAAGAGCCUUUCAUCUGCCCUGCAUGCAUCCCAUAGAUGCUUGCAGUUUCAGUAGAUGGACACCGCAAGCAUUAUCAUUUCAAGAAUACUGCUAGAUCUGAGGAACCGGCCAUCUUUGAAGGUGUCUUUAUAGCCAAGGAUAAAGAUGUUACCAGAUUUCUGGACUACAUUCACAACACAACCACAACGAAAAGCUUGCCAGAAAACAGGAUGUAACCUGUGAAAUGGAGUGAGGCAAAUGCAGGAUGUUGCUGUAUUAACACUAGGAGAGGAGGUGGGACAGUGCAGUACCUUCCUCUCUAGGAUUGCAGUGACUACAAAACAAUUGUGAAAAGCAGGACGCGCAGACAAUCUGCCUCUCAUGGCCAUGCGCUGGAAUCAGCAAAAGUUUAACAAUUUAGCCAUCUUAAUUACUCGUCGAUAUCAGAAGACCAAAAAGCUCUGGAAAGCCAGUUAGAAAACCUAGAGUCCAUGAAAGCCCAAUUGGCAGUGACAGAAAGCUAAUUGGAAGGCUAGACUCUGUACAUCUAAGUCAGUUUGGAGACUUCAGGAGGAGCAGAAGAUGCUUGUUGCAGAGAUGGACCAUCAUUGGAAAUCUCUAAGCUUGUGCUGAUGCCAUCAGAGAGCUGUCCUGCUUGUUUUCUAAUGAGACAAUGAAAAAUUCACCAUGUGGCCUAAGUGAAGAGGGUCUAAAAGGUCUGCUGAGCACCAUUCUCAGAGAGCAACAUAAAAUCAGAAAAAUUUGCAAGCAAGAGACUGUUACCUACAAGUUUUGUCUGGAGCAGAGAACAUCAACUUCUUGUACAGUGCUUCACCUGAUGAGUACGACAGUGACUUUGACAUUUCUGAUGAUGGUCUGUAAUCCACAAGACUGUCACCUUCCAUCAUUCUGGACAAAGACUUCUAACUGUCAAUAUAAAGCAUUUAAUAAAAUCUACUUUUCAUAACCUUA